Molecule: small RNA, 436 nt
Filed under: Histoplasma ohiense
Lineage: Eukaryota; Fungi; Ascomycota; Eurotiomycetes; Onygenales; Ajellomycetaceae
Description: hypothetical lncRNA
Source: RNAcentral
ACCGAUUAUGUUUAGUACUAGUAUCAAUAUAUAAAUAUAUUGAUGAUAUCCAAGAUAAUAUCUAGACUGAUAUGAUAGUUAUGAUAUUUAUUGAUAUGAUAGUUCGCUACCAGUGGCAGAUAUCUCUUGAUGACAUGGUUAUUUUGUAUGUUAUGGAGCAUGUAUGCACUAUGUCGAUAAAAAAUUAGCAGCUCUUGCUGGGUGUAAUUAGCCUAACCUCCGCGUGUAAUUAUCCAUCCCCAUUGAUUACAUAGAUUACACACAGGAGUGUGUUCUGGACCUCUCCGGUUGCUGUGACUCCACGAGGCCCAAUAGUGAGACAUGACAAGGGUGAUUUGCAAACAGAUUUUCGGAGCCAAUCCCUGUUGGAUGCAGUUUAGCGGAUGGAGACAGGGGGAGGGGUGGGUUAUAUCGAUUUCGCAUUUGGGACAGGCAA